UGGUUGCCAGAGGCCCUCAAAUGGAAAGUGUUCAUUCACCAUGUGCAUCCACUAGACACAGACAGAGCACCCCCAACCCCAGGUGUGUGUGUUGGGGGGGGGGGGGAGUCUGGACUGGGACUUUUGGCUCCAGCCUGGAUUUCCCCACUGCUCUGUCCUGGGCAGAACACAGAAGCAACCCGCGCUACCACGCUUUAGUGCCCAGUGCCCAGUGCCCGGGCUCGCCUCUGCCCUAGGUCCUCUCCCACCCACUCCAGCGCCUUCUGUUGAACUCUGGCGCGGGUUUCCGGCAGGCAAUCGAGGCCCGAGCUCAGGAGCCCCAGUCAUCACGGUUCAGUCUGGCCUUCCACUUCCCAGGCCACUUGGCCUCUACUCACAGCAAGAAACUUCUCCCCCGAGAAGGGCAGCUCAGACUGCCAGGGAGCAGGGGUAAGAGGCUAUGGCGCGGGUCCUGCCGGGCGCCCAGGAGCUGCUUCCCUGGGGGACUAGCGGCAGUGAAUGGAGAUGGGGCUCUCGGCUCCCUUCGGGGUUCUGACGCGAGCUUGGCCGGCGGGGACCCCAGAGGGUCGCUCUGCUGAUUCGCGAUGCAGCACCCACCCGACGCCUGCGCUCCGCGGCCGGCACAGCCUCACGUCCUCGCCCGGGCCGGGCUCCGCCCAGGAGCAGCACCUGGCCCCGGGGCCUGUACACAGGAGGUGAUCAGUGACAUACUGCUGACAAGUGGAGCAACCAAUGGGAGCACCGGGGAAGGUGUGGAUGACGUUUCACCACCCAGAGCUCCUCUUUGACCCCCACUCCCCGCUGUGUUAAGAAGCCACCCAGCCUCAGCUCUGUACAGAUUCGAGAUUCGAUUCGCUUCUCCCGCUUAUCACCAUUUCUACCCAAAUGGGCUACAUACUCCCUGCUCUAACCAGGGGUUUUGCCUGAACAUCUUGGAGAGGGGAAGAUGAAUCCCUGAAGAUGUAAACAAAGGAUGUGUUCAUACAUACUGGGGGAAGUCAGAUUUUCAAAGACAUCUAGGAACCAGAGCUGUAGAAUGAUUUUUCUACAUAAACAAAUCAUGGGAUAUUAAUAAUAUCUAUAGCACAAUAUUAAGAUAAAUUUUUAGCUUCCUUUUUUUUUACAUAGGCUUUUCUCUUUUUGCCCCAAAUUGUGUUGACAACCUAGAAUGUCACCAUAGGAGAAUCUUUAAUAACUUGAUAAGAUCUUUGUGAUAUAUAGUUAACUACAAAAAGCAUGUGAUUAAUGAAAAUCUAUAACUACAUUUUGAUAAGAAAUUCAUACAUAUGUGUAUAUGUAUCAUUAAAGUCUCAAGCAGACUAUAUAUGGUUAACAGUUGUCAUUUCCAGGUAGGAAUUAAUGGAUGUUGUUAACUUCAUUUCUGAUUGUUUAUCUGUUUAUAAAAAUGUUACUUUUGGAAGUAAAUACAUAUUUACUUUUUAGGCAAAAGAAGCCUCUGGGAAGAUAAUUUAGUAGUAGCCACCAAAACUUUGUAACCUUUAUGCCAUCAAUUCUGUUCUAGUAAUGCACUCUACAGAAAUCCUUGCACAUGAGUCUGAACUUAAAUACAGUAACUGCAGCCUUGUAAAAAUUUAUAAACAACCCAAACACUUCGACUUCGAGGUGAGUGGUUGGAUUGGCUAUGGCAUCUCCAUAGUAUGGCAAAUGCUAUUAAAAAUAAAAAUGAGGAAGGUA
This is a long non-coding RNA of Cavia porcellus (domestic guinea pig), 1695 nucleotides long. RefSeq lists it as uncharacterized. The record is from RefSeq and is a predicted model, not a curated record. The transcript has 2 exons. Lineage: Eukaryota; Metazoa; Chordata; Mammalia; Rodentia; Caviidae.